This 369-nucleotide long non-coding RNA is filed under the name Callithrix jacchus (white-tufted-ear marmoset). RNAcentral's name for it is "lncRNA (ENSCJAG00000070885.1)". Lineage: Eukaryota; Metazoa; Chordata; Mammalia; Primates; Cebidae. The record is from RNAcentral.
UGUCACAUGAACAGAAAAAGUUAGGUACGCAGACACAUUAAAAGAUUGAAUACGACUAGACUCAUGAGCUGAAGACACCAGGCUCCAUCCCAGUGUACAAGGCAUGAACUUCCCAGUGUCUCCACCCUACUCUCCUGUGUGCAGGGGGUUCCAGAUAGUUUGAUUAGUUUUUUAGGCAAUAAAUCUCUGAUUCUGGAGCUACUAAAAAUUCCUACACUUAAAAGAGAUUUUGUCAUGCUGGGACUAUUCACAUUGAAAUAAUCACAGAAAAGUCAGCUGUAAGAGUUAAUGUAAGUAUGACUAGCAUACAGAACCUUAAGUAUAAAGCAACUGGAAUAAGAGAAUCUUUGAAAUUGAUUUAAGUCUAUC